UACGUAGGGGGCAAGCGUUGUCCGGAAUCAUUGGGCGUAAAGAGCGUGUAGGCGGCUCGGUAAGUCCGCUCUGAAAGCCCGGGGCUCAACCCCGGGAGGCGGGCGGAUACUGUCGGGCUAGAGUCCGGAAGAGGCGAGUGGAAUUCCUGGUGUAGCGGUGAAAUGCGCAGAUAUCAGGAGGAACACCGGUGGCGAAGGCGGUCAUCUGGCCCGGUACUGACGCUCAGGCACGAAAGCGUGGGGAGCAAACAGG
This 253-nucleotide ribosomal RNA is filed under the name uncultured bacterium. RNAcentral's name for it is "partial 16S ribosomal RNA". It matches the Rfam family "Bacterial small subunit ribosomal RNA", at positions 524 to 776 of the family's 1533-position model. The record is from RNAcentral.